AUCAAUGCACUUAGAACUUACGUACCAAGAAAAAUCACUGGGAAUAGUGAUAGCACUUAGAGAGGUAUAGAGUCAAAUACCCUAGAGAUGAAGGUACAAAUACCCCUCCUGAAACACAUUUACCAUCUAAACAAUCAGAACCAAAGAUCUCUUUAUUGGAGUCAAUCUUGUGAAACAAACUGAUAUGCAAAUAAUACAACAGAGAGACUCUAUCCUGCCAUAAUCAUUUACUGAAUUUUUACCAUUGCAUGGCCGAGCAGCAAGUGUUAUGUGAUGAUAAUGUGUUACCAAGAAAUGAAAUUGCUCCGAUUUGAAUAAUAAAAGCUUUUAUAGGGCUAAAAGUUGGAUAAAGUUAACCUUCUAUAUACCAAUUGGAAAUGCCUGAAAUAUCUGUCAUACAAUACAAAUCUUCUCAUACUAUUUGCAAAACAUGCCAAAUGCUUCUUUCUUUUUCUUCUCUUUUUUUAAAUACAAAUAUUCAACAAAUCCAUGAUAAAUUUUAGCAGAAAUAAAUAAAUGAUAGAAGAAUUGGCAAAUUGAAUGUAAAUUCAACUAAGUGUGUAAUAAAUAUCUACUGUCUUAUCGAAACCCUGGCAUAAAUCACUGCACACACACAACUGUUGGACAACUUGAUCAUUUCCAUUUCACAAGCAGCAGAAUUUCAUGGUUGUGAGCCAGCUAGCAGCAGUCAGAAGGUAAAGCUAGGCCAUAAAUCUCUGUGAUUGGGUCUAUAGAGGAAAAAAGGCUCCUGUCUGCAAAAGCAAAUGGCAGCCAGACUAGCAGACCUGGAGGAGAAUGAUGGACAUAUCUUUUACAGCAAGAACUUGACUGCCGCCUGUUCUUGAUUACCUAGGCGAUAAAUACAGGUGCAGAUACAGAACAACAUGAAAGAUUUAUAAGUAGAUUGGUAGAUACCCUAUCCCCGGCACACCUCACCCAGUCAUUAGGGUUGACGGUUUUGAUGGAAAAGACUUUUAUUUACAAGAGUUUGUAACUUUUACUUCCUGCAAAAUCUGGGAUUUUUUUCUCCUUGUAAAUCAGAAAACAUGAAGAAGAAUGUUGAUUCUGUAAUGUAAGUCUUGGGUUAGAGGACAAUAUCGACAGAAAUCUGUUAUCAUUAAAUGAUAAGCCAAGCAAUAGACCUUUGCAUUGUUAGAUACAAAAUGCAUGUGCUGUUAUUUUUUUUUUCUAUUUCUGUUCCGAAAUGAAUCACUACCUAUAUCAAGAAAGAUCAAUUCAGACAUCUCAGAUUGCUGAAUAUGUAUUUCUUCCUAUCAAUCCAGUAGUUUGUCCUUUAGUUCCCUCAUGGAAGCAACCCAGACAUCCAUGAACAAGAUGGUCAUAUGGGGAAAUUGAGGACUUACUGGGUGAUGAUUAGACUUGAUGUUCAAUCAAAUUAUUCCCUCAAGAAUGUAAUGUUCUAACAGCUGCAAAUUCACUUUUAAAGCUAGUGUUCAUGGAAUUGAAGACCAAAUCACUCAUCUUCAGAAAACUAGGGCUUGUCUUGUAGCUUAUUGCUUUUAUGUGCGAGAUUAUGUAGUCAAUUUAGGGCUUAGUUUGGCUUAUGACAUUCUUGCCCUCCAAACAUAACUAAUCAAUGUGCAUGUCUGUGGAAAUUCUUGUCAGCUGACCUCCUAAUAAUCCCCUUUUACCAGUCAACUCCAAUUAGGACUUCAUCAAAUAACACUUUUGCUAUCUCACAGAGUGCAUGAGAUACACUACUGGGUUUCAAAUACAAUACUGAGAAGAAGGUGGCAAAUCACUAGGCAGUUUGGGACAGUUUUGUUCAAAUUGGGUGAUGAUUAGACAAAAACAUCCAUCUGCAAGCAGAUGUGCUGCCACAAUAGUGAACAAUUGCAGUGGCCCCAUUGGUGAAGACAUGCCAAAGCCCCUCACCUCAAUUAGAACAUGCUACAAUGAAGAAAAUCAAUAGGUUUAAAGGUCAUGACCAAUUGGAGAUAAUUUUGUAGAUUGUUGGUUCCCAUUUCACUAAUUACAAGUAAAACUUCGAGGUAUUUGGAACAAAAUUUUCCGAUGAAACUUCUGCUCCAUCUUGUUCAAUACAUGUAUUGAUUUUCUCAAUGUCUGUAGGGAAGGGAAACAGAGCCCAAUAUCAUUGGUGAAAGGAAGUAUCAUUAUCAAUUAGAGGUGAUACACUUAUCAGAUCAAACAAGGGUCAUACUUGUCUACUUCAGUCUAAGCCUCAAUAAACGAUUGACAAAAAAUUCACCCUAAUGGACAUUAGAUGACAUGUUUUAAGAGUUGAGGUAACAUCCCAUUGAGGUACACACAGAAUAACCUGCUGAUCCCGAUCUUCCCUGCAUUAUUAUUGAUAAGUCAGGAAGACCCCUGCAUUGGAGAACACACACAGAGUUAAAUUGUGGGAGAUGGAAGCGAGGAAACAUUACCCUUGGGCCUAAUGGAUUUUCUGCCUGCUAAUCAAAAAUCAAUGCUACAAAAAUUCACUGUUUUCCCAUUUCUAACUUAUAUAAUCUUUUAAUAUAGAAUUACACUUCCACAAACAGUAAUUUUGGGAUGUUCUGUCACCAUAUAAAGCAUUUAUAAAGAGAAAACCCAAUUUAUCUGCAAAAUCAAUAUAUUUGUUAAAACAAAGAAAAAUGAGUAUAAAUUUAAUCUCCUUAAAUAUGCAGCUGAAAUAAAGUCAUUAUCUAUUUUCGUUCUUUGAGGAAAGUUUUACUUAAAAUCUGAUUAAAUCUUUAUAGAUUUAUCAUAAUUUCAGACAUAUCAAUGAGGAUUUUUUAGAUGUAAAAGAUAUCCUCAAUAAGGGUUGUUUUGAUUUGCAUUUCCUAAUUAUUAAGCUACUGAUUGUUUUUCAAUCAUAAUCUAAUAAAAACAUAUUUAACAAAUUUAAUGGAUUAAUUUCAUGAUCUUUAAAGGAAAUUUAUCAACUUUUUCAUCGAAACUUCUACAGAUGAAACCAUCUGACAGUUGUAUGUCUUAUUGUAGUGGUAUUUUCUAGUUUGGUGAUAUAUAUGUUAUGAAAAGUAUUCAUGUGUACUUGUGUGUGUGUUUGUGUGUGUUAAGCUGACAGUGCAUUUGCUAUCAUUUAAGUACCAGAGAAAUCAUGUUGGUUUCCUCUUUAAAUAGAACAUGCUUGUAAAAAACACAAGUAUUUAUCAGCCCAUUCAAGUACCAGAACAGUUUUAGUAAUAGAUUUCCUGCCUAACACAUAGAUAACUGCUCUAUCCAAUUCUCCAACUCUAUUUAAUAAGAUAAACAAAUUAAUACAAAUAGAAUUAAGCAAACCUAUGUUAUUUUUCUAUUUUGAUGGGUAUUUGUCUUUGUUUUAAUGAAGUCAAGCUCUGCGUGCAUUUUAUGACUGCACUUAGGGAAAUAGAGAGGCACUUCAUUCAGGUAUACAUAUCGUCAGCUUGGGUAAGUGCAGGGAUUCACAAGUUCUCUACCAGACACUUGUACAUCCACUGUAGCAGUGUAAACUAAUUAUCAUGUAGUACUUCUUCAACACUUGUAGCUUGAUUAUGUCCUUCACAAAUUUCCCCUCCCAGUUUCUAGGUUCAAAUCCUGUUCAUACUAGAAUUACAACCAGUUUAUAGUUCAGGCAUCACCCUGGCAGAGUGACAUUCCAGUGCGUACAAUGACAAUAAAGCCAGUCAACUUGUGAGCUGUCUCCCACAAGAUUUGAGCCCCUAUUGGAAAUCAU
Molecule: long non-coding RNA, 3682 nt
Organism: Magallana angulata
Lineage: Eukaryota; Metazoa; Mollusca; Bivalvia; Ostreida; Ostreidae
Exons: 4
Source: RefSeq, a predicted model, not a curated record